GGUUCCCCUCGCGGCCUUCGCAAGGGUCUAGCCACAUUGGCUACGCUCACCGCUUGGUGCAUCUGGAGACACCGCAACCGUUGCGUGUUCGAUGGCGACUCCCCUUCCGCCUCAAGGCUUCUUGCAGCUAUCCAGGACGAGGCUAGGACCUGGGCUCGAGCUGGUGCUCGCGGACUCAAUCCUUUGCUGGCAUAG
Molecule: ribosomal RNA, 195 nt
Filed under: Triticum aestivum (bread wheat)
Lineage: Eukaryota; Viridiplantae; Streptophyta; Magnoliopsida; Poales; Poaceae
Description: partial small subunit ribosomal RNA
Source: RNAcentral